GACUUCCUGCUGUGGUGGACUGACUUCUCCCGUGGUAGACUGUCCCCUCGGGCUGUGAGCCAAGACAAAUCCUUUAGACAGGGCCAGAUCAAUUGUCCUGAUCACUGAUAACUGCUCUCAGGUCGUCUGCAUCUCCUGGGAGGAUCGCUGUUUCUACGGAACUCGAACUUACCAGCACAAAACUGAAGGGAGAGAUAUGCAGAAUAAAGCCCUACCUGGGAAGAUCUGAAGUGGAGAGCGUGUGUGUCCUCAGUGGCACGGUGUCCUCUGAGGACGUCCAUGUGUGGCUGUCCCUUAUGCUACCUAUUCCGGAAGCUCCAGGUUUUAGUGUUCCGAGUUUCUGCCCAGGCUUCCAGUGUCAUGAUUGACAGCCAUUUUCCUCUCUCUUUCUGCUUUCUGCCCCUUGGUCCUCCUGGUCUGGCCAGCCCCCUGCCUGAUAUUAUAGGUGUCCUAGCCCUGCCCUUCAUCUGUCAGAUGAAGGAUCACAUGUCCAUGUAAGCUCUCUGGUCACCGAAGCCUGGAGUGUGAUCCCAAGGGCCUUAGAGAAACAUGACACCCCAUCAGUUGGGGGAAUUCUGCGGUUGCUCCCCCAAGGUCAUCACAUCCCUGGCUCACACUCCCUUACUUUAGAAUUAAAAUGUCAGUUAUUCAGUAGGAGCUCCAAGGUCUU
This 670-nucleotide long non-coding RNA is filed under the name Mus spretus (western wild mouse). RNAcentral's name for it is "lncRNA (ENSMSPG00010000800.1)". The record is from RNAcentral. Lineage: Eukaryota; Metazoa; Chordata; Mammalia; Rodentia; Muridae.